UACGUAGGGGGCAAGCGUUGUCCGGAUUCAUUGGGCGUAAAGAGCGUGUAGGCGGCCAGGUAGGUCGGUUGUGAAAACUGGAGGCUCAACCUUCAGAGGUCGACCGAAACCAUCUGGCUAGAGUCCGGGAGAGGAGAGUGGAAUUCCUGGUGUAGCGGUGAAAUGCGCAGAUAUCAGGAAGAACACCCGUGGCGAAAGCGGCUCUCUGGAACGGUACUGACACUGAGGCACGAAAGCGUGGGGAGCAAACAGG
This 253-nucleotide ribosomal RNA is filed under the name uncultured bacterium. RNAcentral's name for it is "partial 16S ribosomal RNA". It matches the Rfam family "Bacterial small subunit ribosomal RNA", at positions 524 to 776 of the family's 1533-position model. The record is from RNAcentral.